GACGAACGCUGGCGGCGCGCCUAACACAUGCAAGUCGAACGAGCGAGAGAGAGCUUGCUUUCUCGAGCGAGUGGCGAACGGGUGAGUAACGCGUGAGGAACCUGCCUCAAAGAGGGGGACAACAGUUGGAAACGACUGCUAAUACCGCAUAAGCCCACGACCCGGCAUCGGGUUGAGGGAAAAGGAGCAAUCCGCUUUGAGAUGGCCUCGCGUCCGAUUAGCCAGUUGGCGGGGUAACGGCCCACCAAAGCGACGAUCGGUAGCCGGACUGAGAGGUUGAACGGCCACAUUGGGACUGAGACACGGCCCAG
This 311-nucleotide ribosomal RNA is filed under the name uncultured bacterium. RNAcentral's name for it is "bacterial SSU rRNA". It matches the Rfam family "Bacterial small subunit ribosomal RNA", at positions 28 to 334 of the family's 1533-position model. The record is from RNAcentral.